Mytilus californianus (California mussel) is the source of this 2492-nucleotide long non-coding RNA. RefSeq lists it as uncharacterized. Lineage: Eukaryota; Metazoa; Mollusca; Bivalvia; Mytilida; Mytilidae. The record is from RefSeq and is a predicted model, not a curated record. The transcript is spliced from 4 exons.
GGAAAUGUUGCUAGGAACUAAGAACCAGGAUCCAGUUAUAACUUGACCAAAUUUACUAUGUUCCAGAGAUAUGCAAUUAUCAUGUUGAUUAAAUGACGAACAGUUACCAGGGUUAUAGGGGCAAUUUGUGACAUUGAAUUUGACAGGGGUUCGAUAAAUGGUGACAUAGUUUGAUAAGGGUUUGAGGGGCAAGUGGUGACAACAGUUUGACAAGUAUUGGCGGGGUAAAUGUGACAAAAAUUUGACAUGGAUUUGAGGGGUUAAUGGUGACAACAGUUUGACGAGGGUUGCAAGGGGUAAGUGGUAAGAAACAGUCUGAAUUCAGUAUCAAUGAUGAUUAAAACUAACACCAUCUUUCGGCUGAGUCCUGAUGGAUUAUUUUAUAUCUGAUGGUACUGUGAGGCAAACAAGUUAAGCAGGGUUUGAGAUGUUAGUUAGAUGUGUAUUUUGACCAGGAUUCAAAGGGUUAGAUGUGACAUAUAGUCUUGAAAAAGCUUCAAAGGGUUAAAUGGGACAUAUAGUUUAAACAAGGGUUCAAUGUGUAGGAUGUGACAUAUAGUUUUAACAAAGAAUUGUGGGGUCAGUGGUGACUUUGAGUUUGACAAUGUUUUAAUGGGUCAGUGGUGGCGUUUAGUUUUGACAAGGGUUCAAGGGGUAAGAUGACAUAAAGUUAGACAAAAGGUUCAAGGAAUUAAGUGUUGACAAAAAGUUUGAAACCAGUAUCAAUGAUGAUUAAAAUAUUAACACCAUCUUUCGGCUGAGUCCUGAUGGAUUAAUUUAUAUCUGAUGGUACUGUGUGACAUAACAUUGGUUUAAGUGGUGACAUAACAUUGGACAAGGGUUUGAGGUUUAAGUGGUGACAUAAAAUUGGACAAGGGUUUGAGGUUUAAGUGGUGACAUAACAUUAGACAAGAGUUUGAGCUUUAAGUGGUGACAUAACAUUGGACAAGUGUUUGAGGUUAAAAUGGUGACAUAACAUUGGACAAGGGUUUGAGGUUUAAGUGGUGACAUAACAUUGGACAAGGGUUUGAGGUAUAAGUGGUGACAUAACAUUGGACAAGUGUUUGAGGUUUAAGUGGUGACAUAACAUUGGACAAGGGUUUGAGGUUUAAGUGGUGACAUAAAAUUGGACAAGGGUUUGAGGUUUAAGUGGUGAGGGUUUGAGGUAUAAGUGGUGACAUAAAUUUUGGACAAGGGUUUGAGUUUUAAAAGACGACAUAACAUUGGACAAGGGUUACAGGUAUAAGUGGUGACAUAACAUUGGACAAGGGUUUGAGGUUUAAGUGGUGACAUAACAUUGGACAAGAGUUUGAGGUAUAAGUGAUGACAUAACACUGGACAAGGGUUUGAGGUUUAAGUGGUGACAUAACAUUGGACAAGGGUUUGAGGUUUAAGUGGUGACAUAACAUUGGACAAGGGUUUGAGGUUUAAGUGGUGACAUAACAUUGGACAAGGGUUUGAGGUAUAAGUGGUGACAUAACAUUGGACAAGGGUUUGAGGUUUAAGUGGUGACAUAACAUUGGACAAGAGUUUGAGGUAUAAGUGAUGACAUAACACUGGACAAGGGUUUGAGGUUUAAGUGGUGACAUAACAUUGGACAAGGGUUUGAGGUUUAAGUGGUGACAUAACAUUGGACAAGGGUUUGAGGUUUAAGUGGUGACAUAACAUUGGACAAGGGUUUGAGGUUUAAGUGGUGACAUAACAUUGGACAAGAGUUUGAGUUAUAAGUGGUGACAUAACAUUGGACAAGGGUUUGAGGUUUAAGUGGUGACAUAACAUUGGACAAGAGUUUGAGGUAUAAGUGGUGACAUAACAUUGGACAAGGGUUUGAGGUUUAAGUGGUGACAUAACAUUGGACAAGGGUUUGAGGUUUAAGUGGUGACAUAUCAUUGGACAAGUGUUUGGGGUUUAAAUGAUGACAGAUUGACAAAGGUUGCAAAAGUUGAACACAACACUUCUGAUUAGAAAGGGUAAUAGGGGUAAGAUGUGAAAUAAAGUUUUACAAGGGUUCAAGGGAUUAGUGUUGACAUACAGUUUGACAAUGAUUCCAGGAAUUAGGUGCCGACCCAAAAAUAUACAGUGACAAACACUAUCCACAUUUAUUUUUUGUGUGUGUAAAUUAGAGUUUUGUUUUUAUUGCUUGUCAGAAUAAAAUUGUAAUAGUCUGGGGCAUCGAACUACUGGAAACUGGUUGCCAAUGCCAACAUACAUUUGCUUCCAACAUAUCAUUUUAAAUUUGGAAACGUUGCUAGGAACUAAGAACCAGGAUCCAGUUAUAACUUGACCAAAUUUACUAUGUUCCAGAGAUAUGUAAUUAUCAUGUUGAUUAAAUGACGAACAGUUACCAGGGUUAUAGGGGCAAUUUGUGACAUUGAAUUUGACAGGGGUUCGAUAAAUGGUGACAUAGUUUGAUAAGGGUUUGAGGGGCAAGUGGUGACAACAGUUUGACAAGUAUUGGCGGGGUAAAUGUGACAAAAAUUUGACAUGGGUUU